GAGAUAACUCCUACGGGAGGCAGCAGUGGGGAAUUUUGGACAAUGGGGGCAACCCUGAUCCAGCAAUGCCGCGUGAGUGAAGAAGGCCUUCGGGUUGUAAAGCUCUUUUGUCAGGGAAGAAACGGUAGUAGCUAAUAUCUAUUGCUAAUGACGGUACCUGAAGAAUAAGCACCGGCUAACUACGUGCCAGCAGCCGCGGUAAUACGUAGGGUGCAAGCGUUAAUCGGAAUUACUGGGCGUAAAGCGUGCGCAGGCGGUUGUGUAAGUCAGAUGUGAAAUCCCCGGGCUCAACCUGGGAAUUGCAUUUGAGACUGCACAGAUAGAGUGUGUCAGAGGGGGGUAUAAUUCGCCGUGUAGAAGUGAAAUGCGUAGAUAUGUGGAGGAAUACCGAUGGCGAAGGCAGCCCCCUGGGAUAACACUGACGCUCAUGCACGAAAGCGUGUGGAGCAAACAGGAUUAGAAACCCUAGUAGUCCUCCACU
Molecule: ribosomal RNA, 481 nt
Filed under: uncultured bacterium
Lineage: Bacteria
Description: bacterial SSU rRNA
Rfam family: Bacterial small subunit ribosomal RNA
Source: RNAcentral